AGGCAACCCCUGAGUGGAUUGGGGGUGUGAAGCAAAUGAGGAAAAAUACUCCCCAAUUCCGGCAAAGGAGUGCAGGGAUAGAUUGGAGCACUUCCUGAGGAAGGAUCAACACUUUCCCACAAGUCUAGCUGCGAGGUCACGUCAUUCAUCAUCCUCUACACUGGGGGGUCUCCGGCAGACACACAUCUGCAGAGGAGAGGAGGAGUGCUGGAAGGAGAUAGACACCUGGGGACUCUGGUCACUCAGGAUACUCUACUUGGCAGUUGAAUGAGAGACUGUAUCUUUAGAAAGAAAAUCUGGGUUGGAGACAUGGCUCAGUGGAUAACGGCAAUUAAUGCCAAGCUUGGUGACCUGUAGGACCAACAUGGUGGAAGCAGAGAACCGACUCCCGAAGUUGUCUUCUGUACUUGCAUACACACUGUAGUGCAUGUACACAGAAAAUGUAAUAAUUUCUUAAAUAAACACAGUGGGCAGCUUCUCAGGCGUGACA
This is a non-coding RNA of Cricetulus griseus (Chinese hamster), 490 nucleotides long. The record is from RefSeq and is a predicted model, not a curated record. Lineage: Eukaryota; Metazoa; Chordata; Mammalia; Rodentia; Cricetidae.